AUCAACUGAAGUGUGGAAAGUUGGCUGUAGCAGUGCUAGGUGUCUGGAGGUAUGACAGAGGUCUAAGUUGAAUACUGGCUGAAUGCAGGAAUGUUAAGACAUCGCGUGCAACGUGUCUGACUGCAUAUAUGGAAUGGUCUCCAUGCACUGGAACGGCUGUUUUGGAAAAGAAACAGUCAAGAGCUAUAAAAGGUAUUCAAAGAUAG
This 206-nucleotide long non-coding RNA is filed under the name Lathyrus oleraceus (garden pea). Its description in RNAcentral is "Pisum sativum (pea) long non-coding RNA (PSAT_LNC009920)". Lineage: Eukaryota; Viridiplantae; Streptophyta; Magnoliopsida; Fabales; Fabaceae. The record is from RNAcentral.